UAUUGCACAAUGGGGGGAAACCCUGAUGCAGCCAUGCCGCGUGUGUGAAGAAGGCCUUCGGGUUGUAAAGCACUUUCAGUAGGGAGGAAGGUAGUGUAGUUAACACCUGCAUUAUUUGACGUUACCUACAGAAGAAGCACCGGCUAACUCCGUGCCAGCAGCCGCGGUAAUACGGAGGGUGCGAGCGUUAAUCGGAAUUACUGGGCGUAAAAGCGCAUGCAGGCGGCCUGUUAAGUCAGAUGUGAAAGCCCCGGGGCUUAACCUCGGAAUUGCAUUUGAAACUGGCAGGCUAGAGUCUUGUAGAGGGGGUAGAAUUUCAGGUGUAGCGGUGAAAUGCGUAGAGAUCUGAAGGAAUACCAGUGGCGAAGGCGGCCCCCUGGACAAAGACUGACGCUCAGAUGCGAAAGCGUGGGGAGCAAACAGGAUUAGAUACCCUGGUAG
RNAcentral lists this ribosomal RNA (441 nucleotides) under uncultured bacterium. RNAcentral describes it as "bacterial SSU rRNA". It matches the Rfam family "Bacterial small subunit ribosomal RNA", at positions 362 to 793 of the family's 1533-position model. The record is from RNAcentral.